Molecule: ribosomal RNA, 650 nt
Filed under: bacterium
Lineage: Bacteria
Description: bacterial SSU rRNA
Rfam family: Bacterial small subunit ribosomal RNA
Source: RNAcentral
GAAUUAGCGGCACCUUGACAUGCGCUCUUACGAAGGCUUCGGGCUUAGUGGCGCACGGGUGCGUAACGCGUGGGAAUCUGCCCUUGGGUUCGGAAUAACAGUUAGAAAUGACUGCUAAUACCGAAUGAUGUCGUAAGACCAAAGAUUUAUCGCCCAGGGAUGAGCCCGCGUAGGAUUAGCUAGUUGGUGUGGUAAAGGCGCACCAAGGCGACGAUCCUUAGCUGGUCUGAGAGGAUGAUCAGCCACACUGGGACUGAGACACGGCCCAGACUCCUACGGGAGGCAGCAGUGGGGAAUAUUGGACAAUGGGCGAAAGCCUGAUCCAGCAAUGCCGCGUGAGUGAUGAAGGCCUUAGGGUUGUAAAGCUCUUUUACCCGGGAUGAUAAUGACAGUACCGGGAGAAUAAGCUCCGGCUAACUCCGUGCCAGCAGCCGCGGUAAUACGGAGGGAGCUAGCGUUAUUCGGAAUUACUGGGCGUAAAGCGCACGUAGGCGGCUUUGUAAGUUAGAGGUGAAAGCCUGGAGCUCAACUCCAGAACUGCCUUUAAGACUGCAUCGCUUGAAUCCAGGAGAGGUGAGUGGAAUUCCGAGUGUAGAGGUGAAAUUCGUAGAUAUUCGGAAGAACACCAGUGGCGAAGGCGGCUCACUGGA